GCCUCGGGAGGCAGCAGUCGGGAAUAUUGCGCAAUGGAGGAAACUCUGACGCAGUGACGCCGCGUGCAGGAAGAAGGUUUUCGGAUUGUAAACUGCUUUAGACAGGGAAGAUACAAGACAGUACCUGUAAAAUAAGCUCCGGCUAACUACGUGCCAGCAGCCGCGGUAAUACGUAGGGAGCAAGCGUUAUCCGGAUUUAUUGGGUGUAAAGGGUGCGUAGACGGGAAGGCAAGUUGGUUGUGAAAUCCCUCGGCUUAACUGAGGAACUGCAACCAAAACUAUCUUUCUUGAGUGCUGGAGAGGAA
Molecule: ribosomal RNA, 305 nt
Filed under: uncultured bacterium
Lineage: Bacteria
Description: bacterial SSU rRNA
Rfam family: Bacterial small subunit ribosomal RNA
Source: RNAcentral